UUUAUGGAGAGUUUGAUCCUGGCUCAGGAUGAACGCUGGCGGCGUGCCUAAUACAUGCAAGUCGAGCGAACAGACGAGGAGCUUGCUCCUCUGACGUUAGCGGCGGACGGGUGAGUAACACGUGGAUAACCUACCUAUA
Molecule: ribosomal RNA, 139 nt
Filed under: Staphylococcus epidermidis
Lineage: Bacteria; Bacillati; Bacillota; Bacilli; Caryophanales; Staphylococcaceae
Also listed under: 2 other names
Description: partial 16S ribosomal RNA
Rfam family: Bacterial small subunit ribosomal RNA
Source: RNAcentral